RNAcentral lists this long non-coding RNA (221 nucleotides) under Panicum hallii. Its description in RNAcentral is "long non-coding RNA (PHAL_LNC000801)". Lineage: Eukaryota; Viridiplantae; Streptophyta; Magnoliopsida; Poales; Poaceae. The record is from RNAcentral.
UUGGGGUUCUGAAUCAAGCAAAUCGGGUGGUCUAAUCGACAUACGCGAUUACAAGGAAGUAGCAACAGCUAAACUUACAACCAAACAAAACCCAAGUCUCAAAUGGUGGCUGCUGGUGGUUUAUAUAGGUGGGGGGGGGCAGCCAAGAGGCGUAGGGGGUGUAAACCCUAACUUAGAAUGGGCACCUAGUGGGCUGAACUAGAUACAAGGGCCUCAGCCCC